Molecule: long non-coding RNA, 1543 nt
Organism: Cylas formicarius (sweet potato weevil)
Lineage: Eukaryota; Metazoa; Arthropoda; Insecta; Coleoptera; Brentidae
Exons: 3
Source: RefSeq, a predicted model, not a curated record
GACUAAUUUUCGUUAUAAGUUUAGUAAGACAAACGGACAUUUGCCAAUGAAUUUGCAGAAAACAAGUAGUUUUUUGAAAGCCAUUUACUCCAUUGGAAAAAUUCGGAUACCAGGAUACUAAGGAGAUCCAGGGCUAUAUCUUCUAUUUCGAACAUUGUUGGAAUUAUAUACAGGGUACGUCGUUUGUCGGCAAAAAAUUCUAAUAGAUCCUAGAAAUGUCCGCUUUUGUGGGUAAAUUAAUGGCCAUACAUGAAAAACUUUUAAAGAUGUGAUAAUUUGAUAUGACCAGUAUCGUAAACUGUGUCGAGAGAGAGUUUAAGGUUUCGUGUAUAAUACAGGGAACGCAAGAUUUGAAAAACUAUAAUUUUAAAUUGCAAUUAAUUACCAGUUCAAAUUUUGAUAUUUACCGAAGUGUGCCGUAACUUUGAAGUUCGAAGAGAUGUGAAGGACACUUUAUACAGGAUGUAUUCACAAUCAAAUUACAUCGAUUUUGUGAAAGUUCCAUAGUGGUCCACAGGAGCACGAUAGAAAAACAUUGCGUCACUAUAGGACAAAAAUCCGCGAAGCGCCUUCUUUUUGAAAUAAAAAGCGCUACGAGCUGCGAACUUGCCCCGCCCACCGACGAUUUUUCAAAGCAAUCCUGUUUGUUUUAGAUUCUUCCCAAUUAAUCAUCUAAGUGAGCGAGAAGAUGGACAACAGUAACAGUAAUUUGCCGACAACUAAGUAAAGUGGCCAAUCCCAGUAAUCGUUAAAACCAGGAAAAGUCCACAACUAUCAAUGAUUUUUGGAUUUGGUAGGACAUGUUGAUGGUCUAUGUAGUUUUCGCAAAAAACAACUGUUAAAAAUUUUGAACUGAAACGUUUUUAAAAUCAAUUAAUCAAAUGACCAGUUUGUUUCCUACGAAGCUUAAUUUUCAACCUAGCGAUAUUGGCAGAAUUAGACUGAAUAUUUAAACUCUACUACUAAAUUGUUUUAAUCACCUGCGAAUUUUCUCAUGAGGCUAAAGAAAUGCUUUGGUAAGGUGAAGCUAACAAUUUUAAGCGGCAUGCAAUUCCAAAUGUACGAGCUGUAAUCUUUUGAAACACUACCGAUGUAUAGCAACGAGGUUGCGAUAAUUAAAAACAGACUUUACUUAUACUUAUUUAUAGGUGCCCGUGAUACAAAAACCUUAUCUCCAACAAAUCGGAAAUCCUAAAUUGAUUGCAAUAUUUUGUUUUCGAAAAUUGGGCCAAGGCCAAAUUAUUUCCAAUUGCAGGAAUGCGAUUUUUUGCCUUUCACGACAAAUGCAAUAACCUCUCCAAAAAAAUUAAAAAUAAAUAAAUAAAGGGACGUUUUAAUUGGUUUAAACAUUUGCACACAUAUCAUCGAGCGUGUUAUCGGCAUUUGCUAUUCCGUUCCCACAAUGCAAACUUGUUUACAUAUAAAUACGUAUUGACUUAACAACCAUGGAUUUUAUGUCACAGCAAGCAAGGGUCAAAAGACUUUGUUACUAGAUGAACAACUUCCUCCUCGAUCUUUGACCCUUCAUUUUUGCUUGUUUAUA